Molecule: ribosomal RNA, 490 nt
Filed under: uncultured bacterium
Lineage: Bacteria
Description: partial 16S ribosomal RNA
Rfam family: Bacterial small subunit ribosomal RNA
Source: RNAcentral
AUUGAACGCUGGCGGCAGGCCUAACACAUGCAAGUCGAACGGUAACAGGAAACAGCUUGCUGUUUCGCUGACGAGUGGCGGACGGGUGAGUAAUGUCUGGGAAACUGCCUGAUGGAGGGGGAUAACUACUGGAAACGGUAGCUAAUACCGCAUAACGUCGCAAGACCAAAGAGGGGGACCUUCGGGCCUCUUGCCAUCAGAUGUGCCCAGAUGGGAUUAGCUAGUAGGUGGGGUAACGGCUCACCUAGGCGACGAUCCCUAGCUGGUCUGAGAGGAUGACCAGCCACACUGGAACUGAGACACGGUCCAGACUCCUACGGGAGGCAGCAGUGGGGAAUAUUGCACAAUGGGCGCAAGCCUGAUGCAGCCAUGCCGCGUGUAUGAAGAAGGCCUUCGGGUUGUAAAGUACUUUCAGCGGGGAGGAAGGGAGUAAAGUUAAUACCUUUUCUCAUUGACGUUACCCGCAGAAGAAGCACCGGCUAACUCCGUG